UGUCGGUGGGUGUACAAGUGAAGUUCUACGGACUAUUAUUUGCGGUCGACGGAGUGUCGGCAGGAGAUCAUGCAUGGCACAUGAAUUGGCUUUGGAGCCACCCGUAUCCUUAUUAUAUGAUGUUGUUCUUUUCUGCUUUUGCUUUACUCUUAUUGUGUAAUUGUUGCUACAUGAGUUUACGCUUUCGCCCCUGUUUACUUACUAAGCAUAUAGCUUACCCCAUUCCUUUUGUUUUCCUUAGCAGGGGCCGACGCGGGGACUUUUGGCUCGUAUACUAGUAUAGUUAGUUUGGCUUGUAAUAGUUGAACAGUUAGGAUGUUUGUUUUUGUUUUGGUGGUUUGACUCGAUACUUUUGGAGAAUGUAAUUAUAACUCUUUUGGGAUGGUAUAUAUUGUAUUUAGUGCUCUUUCGAACUU
Molecule: long non-coding RNA, 416 nt
Filed under: Coffea arabica (coffee)
Lineage: Eukaryota; Viridiplantae; Streptophyta; Magnoliopsida; Gentianales; Rubiaceae
Description: long non-coding RNA (CARA_LNC002274)
Source: RNAcentral